GUGCUCUUCUCCAGCGGACUGUGAAGCGGAGCAGAUCGCCGUGUGCGGGGGGGUGGGGUAAUUCGUGCUACUGCUUGUUCGCGAGUUGGCCUUAAUCUCCCCUCCCUCCCGCGCGAGGAUUCCUCAUUGACAUCGCACGCGGCGCUGCCGACGCCCCCCCCCCUCCACGAGGCGGAGAGCGUCCGCCGGCCCGCCGGGUCGUGUCUGGGGCUUGUCUUGUUCAAACGAGCCGAGAGGUGAAGCGGCAGACGAGAUCAGACCGCUUCAUGAAACCGUAUACAGCCUGGAAUAUUUUAGCAAGGGCGCUUCGUAUACCAGAGACGGAAAGGUCAAGGGUUCGAGGGUUGGAUCUGCCUUUGUCACACCUGCCCACUGGUAUGGCGUCGGCUUUCGCCGUGAAAAGGGAAACAGGAGGCUGCUGCUGCCGUGUGGGUGACGCGGAG
Molecule: long non-coding RNA, 443 nt
Filed under: Lepisosteus oculatus (spotted gar)
Lineage: Eukaryota; Metazoa; Chordata; Actinopteri; Semionotiformes; Lepisosteidae
Description: lncRNA (ENSLOCG00000022528.1)
Source: RNAcentral